This 1514-nucleotide ribosomal RNA is filed under the name uncultured Enterobacteriaceae bacterium. RNAcentral's name for it is "bacterial SSU rRNA". It matches the Rfam family "Bacterial small subunit ribosomal RNA". Lineage: Bacteria; Pseudomonadati; Pseudomonadota; Gammaproteobacteria; Enterobacterales; Enterobacteriaceae. The record is from RNAcentral.
GCAUCUAGAUUAGGGUUUGAUCCUGGCUCAGAUUGAACGCUGGCGGCAGGCCUAACACAUGCAAGUCGAGCGGUAGCACAGAGAGCUUGCUCUCGGGUGACGAGCGGCGGACGGGUGAGUAAUGUCUGGGAAACUGCCUGAUGGAGGGGGAUAACUACUGGAAACGGUAGCUAAUACCGCAUAACGUCGCAAGACCAAAGUGGGGGACCCUCGGGCCUCAUGCCAUCAGAUGUGCCCAGAUGGGAUUAGCUAGUAGGUGGGGUAAUGGCUCACCUAGGCGACGAUCCCUAGCUGGUCUGAGAGGAUGACAAGCCACACUGGAACUGAGACACGGUCCAGACUCCUACGGGAGGCAGCAGUGGGGAAUAUUGCACAAUGGGCGCAAGCCUGAUGCAGCCAUGCCGCGUGUAUGAAGAAGGCCUUCGGGUUGUAAAGUACUUUCAGCGAGGAGGAAGGCAUUAAGGUUAAUAACCUUGGUGAUUGACGUUACUCGCAGAAGAAGCACCGGCUAACUCCGUGCCAGCAGCCGCGGUAAUACGGAGGGUGCAAGCGUUAAUCGGAAUUACUGGGCGUAAAGCGCACGCAGGCGGUCUGUCAAGUCGGAUGUGAAAUCCCCGGGCUCAACCUGGGAACUGCAUUCGAAACUGGCAGGCUAGAGUCUUGUAGAGGGGGGUAGAAUUUCAGGUGUAGCGGUGAAAUGCGUAGAGAUCUGGAGGAAUACCGGUGGCGAAGGCGGCCCCCUGGACAAAGACUGACGCUCAGGUGCGAAAGCGUGGGGAGCAAACAGGAUUAGAUACCCUGGUAGUCCACGCCGUAAACGAUGUCGACUUGGAGGUUGUGCCCUUGAGGCGUGGCUUCCGGAGCUAACGCGUUAAGUCGACCGCCUGGGGAGUACGGCCGCAAGGUUAAAACUCAAAUGAAUUGACGGGGGCCCGCACAAGCGGUGGAGCAUGUGGUUUAAUUCGAUGCAACGCGAAGAACCUUACCUACUCUUGACAUCCAGAGAACUUAGCAGAGAUGCUUUGGUGCCUUCGGGAACUCUGAGACAGGUGCUGCAUGGCUGUCGUCAGCUCGUGUUGUGAAAUGUUGGGUUAAGUCCCGCAACGAGCGCAACCCUUAUCCUUUGUUGCCAGCGGUCCGGCCGGGAACUCAAAGGAGACUGCCAGUGAUAAACUGGAGGAAGGUGGGGAUGACGUCAAGUCAUCAUGGCCCUUACGAGUAGGGCUACACACGUGCUACAAUGGCAUAUACAAAGAGAAGCGACCUCGCGAGAGCAAGCGGACCUCAUAAAGUAUGUCGUAGUCCGGAUUGGAGUCUGCAACUCGACUCCAUGAAGUCGGAAUCGCUAGUAAUCGUAGAUCAGAAUGCUACGGUGAAUACGUUCCCGGGCCUUGUACACACCGCCCGUCACACCAUGGGAGUGGGUUGCAAAAGAAGUAGGUAGCUUAACCUUCGGGAGGGCGCUUACCACUUUGUGAUUCAUGACUGGGGUGAAGUCGUAACAAGGUAGCCGA